RNAcentral lists this long non-coding RNA (3427 nucleotides) under Panax ginseng (ginseng). RNAcentral's name for it is "long non-coding RNA (PGIN_LNC012578)". Lineage: Eukaryota; Viridiplantae; Streptophyta; Magnoliopsida; Apiales; Araliaceae. The record is from RNAcentral.
AUCAGUAUUCUUAUCCGCCAUGUAUGUGAAACCCUAACCUUAGAAAUCGCCCUAAUCCCCCUUUUUUCUAAGCCAAUCGAGCCUGCAGAACACCAAAUCAUGCGGCUAUGUAUCAAUAUCUCAAUCGUGAAUAUCAAAUUCGGAGCUCAUCAAGCCCUUGAAAAAAUCAGUAUCUACUGGCAUACAUUGACAACCCUGCGCUCUUAAGACUCUCUGAGAAGAUCUAUCUGUCAUCAAAAUCCAUUCAUUCUCUCUCUCUCUCUCUCUCAUCAACUCCUUUUGAUUCACUAUUUUUCUCAAUUGUUCUAUUCUGAUUUAAUUUUUUUAAUACCCACUUUCAUCGUUUUAAUGUAAUGGAUACAAGAAUUCCAUACAAGAUGUCGUGAUUGCCUCUUACCGAUCGGAUGCUCCAUAUAAAAAAUUCUUCUGAGAGAGAGAGAGAGAGAGAGAGCAAGAGAGGGAUUUUGCUUUGAAGGGGGCUUUCGAAUUUCAAACCCUAGGAGAGAGAAAGCGAGUUCCGAUUCAAAGUGUUCAUUUAUCGCUGAAUCACAUUGUAUUGAAAGAUCUUCACUGACAGAUUACAGGUUAGUUAAAUUAUCUAAUUGAAUCUAGUUAUUUAUGGUUACCUUACAGUAUACUUCAAGCUUAAUUUUUUUUUAUAUUUAUGUAUUUUGGUUCUGAGAAAAUGUGGGUAGAUCGAGCAAGAUAAUGGUGUAGGAAAUUGUUGUAUGUACGAUUACUGUAUCGUGAUUUGGGAGUUGGGACCAGCAAGAAGGAUACGUGAAAUAUAAGUAAAAUGUAUUAUAUAUGAUUAAUUAAUUANNNNNNNNNNNNNNNNNNNNNNNNNNNNNNNNNNNNNNNNNNNNNNNNNNNNNNNNNNNNNNNNNNNNNNNNNNNNNNNNNNNNNNNNNNNNNNNNNNNNUGUUAGAUUAUAUCGGGCAUGUUUUUCAAGCUCUGCAAAUAAGAGUUUGUUUCUAAUGGAUCAAAAACCCAAUGUUGAUUGAAUAAUUGUCUUUUUGAAAAGACAUUGUUGUCAUGGUCAAACGUAUGGAGUAACCUGGCCCAUCUGGUUUGUGUAAUUAUGUGAAUGCAUAAAUUGAUGCAAAAUGCCUUGAGAAUAGAAGUAUUGGUUUGUUGUAUAAUGGAUUGAAAUAUUGAAAUGUUGUUUAAAUUUGAUAAAAAAUCCCUCGCUAGAAUUUGAUUGCUUCAAUCUAACCUUCAGAAGAAAUUAUGAGAAGAAAAUGUUGUUACUCCUAUAAUAAUUCUUGUUGCCGCAAAAGUUCAUACUUCAGUUUUCUUAUACUUAUGGAUGUAUUUGUUUGUAGUAUUUUGCGAUAUUGUUAGAUUAUAUCGGGCAUGUUUUUCAAGCUCUACAAAUAAGAGUUUGUUUCUAAUGGAUCAAAAACCCAAUGUUGAUUGAAUAAUUGUCUUUUUGAAAAGACACUGUUGUCGUGGUCAAACGUAUGGAGUAACCUGGCCCAUCUGGUUUGUGCAAUUAUGUGAAUGCAUAAAUUGAUGCAAAAUGCCUUGAGAAUAGAAGUAUUGGUUUGUUAUACGAUGGAUCAGCUGGUAUAUACCUACUAACGUUGUGCACUUCUUUUGCUGUAGCACUAGUAUCCGUAUAUUCAGGCAAUUAUACUUUAAUUCAUAGUUCUGCUACCAUUCUAUAAAACAAAUUUGUAUAUGGUUUACACCUGUUUGGGUGGCUAAUAUUUUAAAUAAAACCAUUGUGCUUGCAAGUAACAACUCCCUAGUAAACAAAAUGGUCAUUGAGAACGUGGAGCCAAAUGGAAAUUUUCCACAUAGCGAUCUUUAACAAAUAAUGAACCAUCAUAGUGUUCCACAUAGUUUAUCAACAUAAUUGGUACGUUUAAGAUACUCUUGAUUGUAUUUUGAAAUACAUUAUGCAGCUUAUACUGAAAAAAAUGGAGACAUACUUGAUACAUAUAGUUAUUUACUUAAAAAGUGAAAGUUACUCUUGUUCGAGUACUGGCCAAUGAAUAUUUGGAUGCUUUGUUUUUAUUAAAAUUAUAUAAAGUCCUAUGGUGCUUUGUUAUGUAUCAUCCUAAUCCAGCCAACCCCCCUUCCGAUGCACGACGGGUGUUUUCACUUAAAUAUUUGCGUAGGGUGGUUGUAUGUUUAUGUUGGUUCUAUCAUUCUUUCUCCUUAGUUUGUUAAAAGUGUCAGUAGGUCUCAAAUAAUGCACAAAUCCUUUAUAUGACUACUUUAUUGUUAGUGUGUUCACAUACUAUUAUUUCAUGUUGAGGUAUCUUUUCUGUGACAAAGGAGGUAUAUGUCCGAAUGUUUUACAUAUCUGCUUGCUCUUGGUGGGAGAAAAAGGGGAAAGCAGGGGAAGACAAUAUAUGAUGAAACGUUGUUCUGCUUAGCGAUUUGAAGUUAUAUUCCUCUAUGAUCUUGCUUUUCUUGAUAAUGUAUCAUAAUUUCUUUAAAAUACUAAAAUCCUAUUGUUGAAUCUUUUCAUUUUCUGUUCCCCCCUGUUAAAUCUAGUUUUUUUAGUUAAUUUUUUUAUAAUCAAACUGUGUUUUAGAUUUUUAAAGUUUUGGACUCUGUAGGAUUCUUAGAUUUUCUUUUAAUUCUAAUUUAUUUGUUUUCUUAAAAUAAUACUCUGAUCAUUUAAUUCUACAUUUUCAAUAGGAACUGUUUGUGCUUGGCCAAUGGCAAAUUCAAAGGGGUCAUCAAGCUUCAGAAAUAUGAUGUAAUGAAAGCAUUCUUUACUUCCUCCUAAAAUCCUGUUUCCUAGCAUUUCCCCCUCAUAUGCCGAUUAUGUCCUUGGUCCUGUUAUUGGGGGAAAAGGUAUACCUAAGCCUAGAGAGGGAAACUCACACCAUCAACAUAACUUUGAUGUAGCAUCUAGAGAAAUUACCUGAUUACCUAUUCUUUUUGUUUUCCUCCCCUUAAAUUUUACUACCUGAUUAACUAUCCUCCUAUUUUUUUCAUAUUCAACAUUUUUCACUUUAUGUAACUGCAGCUAGAGAAAGUAGUUGUGCAGCCAACUCCAAUUUCAUGGUGAGUUCUCUGUACUAGUUUAGGAUCAUUGUCUGUUGCCAAAAGAGGUUUUUAUUUUAUUUUCUUUUUUUAAUUUUAGUUCGCCAGUUUCAUCUUUUCUUAUUCCUUGCCUUAUUGAAAUUGAAUUUUUGUGUUUCUCUUGCGGCAUGAAAUUUACAUGCCCAACCUUGAUUUUUAUGAAGAAAAUGAUGAUAAAGUGGAUCUAACAUGUCACACUCUAUUCCUUCUAGUUCAUUGUUAUUCUUUCAGUUAUCUUAUGUUAGUUAAUAAAUUUUGUAGGUACUAUGGUCUUUGGGAGACCAUACAAUAACAAAUUUUGUAGUUAUUGUAACUCGAGUAUUAUGAUCUAUUUACAUGUGAAGUUUUGAUUUUAUUAGCUCUUUAUGCAUUAGUUUAUCAA